GCCACAUGACCAGACAGGUAACAGACAGGUAACAGGGAAGAACAAAGACUAACAAGAAGGAUGGGAUGACCAGCAAUGCCUGCUGGUCAAACAGGGAAGGGACAUGGUAGGACCACAGCAGGGACUGACCCUGACAGACCUGGGACUGAACACAGGACCUUCUUGCUGUGAGGCAGCAGUGCUAACCACUGUGCCAUCCUGCCACCACUUCUAAAAGUCUUCAUAAACUAUAUAUCCCCUAUAGUCUGAUAAGCCUGUUUUAACAUCAUACUGAUUUUAACAUCAUAGCUGUAUUGAGUAACUCAUACAACUGAAAUCAAAACUGAUUUACAUCUUGCUAAUUUUACAGCUGCCAGUAUUGAUGAGGGGGUUUUAAAAACCCUCAUCAAUGUGUUACCAGAUGUGUCCCAUGUAUUUAUGUAUUUUCUUUGCCUACACAUCUCCAAUAUUGUGAGAAUUCUACUGACCAGUUGUAGUGGAAGUGGGAUUGUGCCAUCAACCAGUGCCAUGCCGCCCUCCCAGCCUCAGAGCUCCAUUCCCAUAAAUGAAACGAUGGCCAAAACAGUGAAAUUGCCAGAUCCACCAGAAUAUGUGGUGUACACAGAUUCAGAAUUAUACAUGGUGCACAUCCAGUAUUUUGCAUUGCUCCGCAGUGGAAAGGAAAAGGACUGUAAGAUGUGAAAGGAGCUUAUUUGCAGACUUAUAAGAAACACAAUCACCAGCAUGGUUGCAAUCCUUCAUGCUAGUCCCCUGGGAAAGGAAGUGCCAUAUCCCUCCAAGCACGAACUGAGAGUAAUGUCACAGAAGAUAAUUUACUAUUAUCCUAUGCUACGGGAUGGUGGAGACGUGCCGUAUGUAAGUGUCAAUUUCUUAACAUUUAAUUUGAUGUUGAAUAAAACCUAAGACUGGAUAGAGGUGUCAACAACAAAAUAUAUAACAUUCUUUUUCCACAGCUGACCAUCUACUCCAAAAUGUACAAGUGACUCCAGAAUAUGAAGUCACCAAGAAAGAGGCAGGGCCGUGUGCCAAAACGAGGGGUUGCAAAGAGGUCUCUCUUUAGUACAAGUAUAGAAGAUGAGACAGAUUAAGAUUCAAGUGGUUCAACAGCUUCAACCGUAAUUCUUCCAAGCAACGAUGACCUUAGUGAUGCAAACCUUAGUCCAGCAGGUCAUGAAGGUCUGAAACACCAGGCAAGGUACUACAAAACACUGAGCAACAUGUACAAUAAACCCAACUCAACUCAAAACCGAACCAAAGCAACGUUGUUCAACUUUUGGACCUCGAGUUUGAAGCCAGACGGGCCUUCAUUGAUUCAGAUGAGGCAAUGGACAAGCUGCAUUGUAUCCUUGAUGGUACCAACUCUAAAUACAUAGAUGAAACAAAGGGAAGAUGGGCAGACUUCUGUGAAAAGGUGCAGUUCUAUGGUGUAUGGAAGAAGGCCCUCAAACUCCUUUUCCCCUUGAGCCUGCAGGGAGAUAGUGGAUUUCACCAUUGACCUUCUAACAGUACUCCCGGUACUUUUUCCCUCACCAACUCCACCACCAAAGCGAAUUGGGAGUGCCAGUGAAGCACUGCUUCACAUAAUUCAGCCAAUGGAAGAUCCAGCGCUGAACUAGGAGAAGCGACCUCUAUUCAACCAAGUGUUACUCUUUGAUGGAACAGCUUGCAUUCUUGCCAAGGGGAAAUACUCCUGUAAGCACCCUACCAAAGGAGGAUUUCUUUCAUGGAAUGUUAAUGGCGUACUACCACUCUUUGCACUUGACAUAUCCAAAAUGUGUUGCAACCUUGCUGUCAGUCAUUCAAACAGAGGUACUAGGCGAUGCCAUACAUGAUCAAAAUGCCACAAGCUUGUAUUAGAAAGCAAUCACUGAGUGGAAAUCAUUGAUUAAGAAAUAGAAAUGCAUAGAACAUCAGGUCUGUUAUUAGCGUUCUAGAGUACUGUAUCUGUACCUGAUAAAGUUUUUCUUUCGUUUCCUCUGUUGAGGGUUUUUCAUGUCCUGUUUUUUCAUUUCAUAGUUGUUGUAUGUUAUAUAGCGUUUUUUGUUCUAGUGCAUGGACUGGUCGCAGUGCUCUAUUUGUCUCUCACUUUCUCAGUCACCCUGUUUUUUUCUCUCUCUCUCUCACUUAUUCUCUGCCUAGCCUAAAAAGUGCACGUUGAAUUUUGUUGUUUGUGUUAAUGCCUUUUCUGUGGAAAAAUAUAUUGCAGUGGGUUAUGGAAUGACCAUUAUUUUAUAAUAUUUAUAUUUUUUCCGUAGGACACUUAUUGAUGUGAAGGCUCUGUGGUGUCUUCUGUGGUUGGUAAUAAAUGUUGAUGGAAAUCUGACUUUUCAUGGUUGUGAUUUCCUGUUUUAAGAUGUUCUUGAAAAAAAGUCGGUCUAAAUAUUGGUUUAGGUUUACUUAUUUCAAGGUGUAUUUCAUGUAACAGCAUAAUCAUACUCCUCUAGCAGUAAGUAGUUUCCACUUAUUUUAAUGAUCAAUUUUCUUAUUCCUUGGACUUCAUUUUUCCAGUGUGCUUAAAUUAAGAAUUUUAAGAAUAAGAGUUUUAAGAAUUAUUUGCUAAUAUUCAGUGCAUUUUGCUUUUUACUGUGAUAUGACAAGUCUCAUUUUAAGUAAUUUGAUCUGAAUUUUUUUUUUUUUUAUACUGUUGCACAAUUGUCCAACCUUUCAUAUUUCUAGACUUGCAGGGUAACAUUUCACUAUGUGUUUGUAUGUGUACAACUGUCUAUGUGAUGAAUAAACCUUUUGAAACUUGAAA
Molecule: non-coding RNA, 2755 nt
Organism: Paramormyrops kingsleyae
Lineage: Eukaryota; Metazoa; Chordata; Actinopteri; Osteoglossiformes; Mormyridae
Source: RefSeq, a predicted model, not a curated record